RNAcentral lists this ribosomal RNA (467 nucleotides) under uncultured bacterium. Its description in RNAcentral is "partial 16S ribosomal RNA". It matches the Rfam family "Bacterial small subunit ribosomal RNA", at positions 28 to 506 of the family's 1533-position model. The record is from RNAcentral.
GACGAACGCUGGCGGCGUGCUUAACACAUGCAAGUCGAACGGAAAGGCCCUGCUUUUGUGGGGUGCUCGAGUGGCGAACGGGUGAGUAACACGUGAGUAACCUGCCCUUGACUUUGGGAUAACUUCAGGAAACUGGGGCUAAUACCGGAUAGGAGCUCCUGCUGCAUGGUGGGGGUUGGAAAGUUUCGGCGGUUGGGGAUGGACUCGCGGCUUAUCAGCUUGUUGGUGGGGUAGUGGCUUACCAAGGCUUUGACGGGUAGCCGGCCUGGGAGGGUGACCGGCCACAUGGGAAGUGAGAGUGGCACCAGCCCCCUACGGGGGGCAGGAGUGGGGAAGUUGCACAAAUGGGCGGAAGCGCGAUACAGCAACGCCGCUGGGGGGUGUCAGGCCUUCGGGUUGUAAACCUCUUUCGCCUGUAACGAAGGGUGGGUGACGGUAGGGGGAAAAAAAGCCCCGGCUAACUACGU